RNAcentral lists this ribosomal RNA (486 nucleotides) under uncultured bacterium. RNAcentral describes it as "partial 16S ribosomal RNA". It matches the Rfam family "Bacterial small subunit ribosomal RNA", at positions 30 to 507 of the family's 1533-position model. The record is from RNAcentral.
AUUGAACGCUGGCGGCAUGCCUUACACAUGCAAGUCGAACGGCAGCACGGGUGCUUGCCCCUGGUGGCGAGUGGCGCACGGGUGAGUAAUACAUCGGAACAUGUCCUGUAGUGGGGGAUAGCCCGGCGAAAGCCGGAUUAAUACCGCAUACGAUCUACGGAUGAAAGCGGGGGCCCUUCGGGCCUCGCGCUAUAGGGUUGGCCGAUGGCUGAUUAGCUAGUUGGUGGGGUAAAGGCCUACCAAGGCGACGAUCAGUAGCUGGUCUGAGAGGACGACCAGCCACACUGGGACUGAGACACGGCCCAGACUCCUACGGGAGGCAGCAGUGGGGAAUUUUGGACAAUGGGCGAAAGCCUGAUCCAGCAAUGCCGCGUGUGUGAAGAAGGCCUUCGGGUUGUAAAGCACUUUUGUCCGGAAAGAAAUCCUUGGCCCUAAUACGGUCGGGGGAUGACGGUACCGGAAGAAUAAGCACCGGCUAACUACGUG